AUCCCGGUGGGAUGGGACGUCCCCCCGAAAGGAGCCGGCAGCUCACGGAGCACCCCCGGGCUGGAAAAUAUCCCCCCUCCCACAAAAUCCAAGACUUCCAGGCCCCCACGGAAACGCCAGAGCCACCCCGGUGCCACCCCCUGCCUCCGAAUUUCAGGGUGGGAUCCCCUGGUUUGGCCCCAAAAUGUUGGUUGGUGUGCGAAGGCACCGGCAGCUCCGCGGGAUCGCCCUCUUCCUCCCGGAGGCGCGUGGAAUUCUUCUCCGUCUCCCCCCAGCCAGGAAUUUGGGGAGGGAACGGGAAUGUCGGUGGCUCGUGGAUCCCGUGAGAGGUCGUGAACCGGGAGCGGAAGAACUCGGGGUCUUUCCAGGCCCGGUUUCAGCCGGAAGAAGCACCACGGCGGGAAUUCCAUAUGACCCUCCGCCACAUUCCCAAAGCGGCGGCCAAGGAAUUCCCGACGGCGACGCGGCCGAUCCGCCCUCCGGAGGUGGGAGCGGGAGAUCCCCCGGAAGUCACGGGCACGGCGGAUGCCAGGGAAGGAUAGGGAUGAGCUGGUGGAUCAAGGUAUGGAUGAAUCCCAAAGCCGUGGAGGCACCAUUGAUGCCAACGGAAGACGGGAUACGGAGGAGCACUGGCUGGUGUUUGCUGAGGAUUCCCAAACCGCUGCCCGGAGAGAGAAGACAAUUCCAUGGGAAUGGAGACCACAGAUGGAUAUCUGAGGGCUCUGGGAUGUCCGAGGGCCUCGGGAUGUCUGCGGUGACAUGUUGUGAGUGCCGGGACCGCUGAUGGUCUCCGGCCCCACCUCUGGAAAAACCUCCUCUCGGAAUCUUUCCUCUGGGGCUCCCUGGUGAUCCGCCCCCUCCCAUCAUCCAGAGCCUUGGAGAUCCCCGGAAAGGAGCUUGGCUCGGCGCGGGAUGCUCCCGGUGCCUCCACGGGAGGUGUCCCAGCCCUACCAGACCCUCGUCACCAUCUCCCUCCGAGACGACUGAUUUCCUCUUGGAUGUUCCAACGCCACUCCCGGCGUUGGAAUCCGCCGAUUCCCGCAGAGUCCCGCGCCGGGACUCGCGGCACCUCCCACUCGGCAAAGGCGAUGAUCCCGAGGUGGAGAGAGUCUUUCCAGAGGUUUUGGCCUGUAGCCACGAGAGCCACCAACGUGCUCCAACCCUGCUUGGUGUCCACCGGGAAGAUAAAAGUGGGAUGGAGACAAUUCCACGCGAGGGAGGACAACCCAUCCCUCCUGGGCCUUCCGGCCUUCGGGCAUUUGCUUGGUUUGGAUCUUCCGCGUUUUUCCUCCUGGAUGGUUUUCCCCAGGUGCUGGUUUCGGUGGUCCCGGUGCCAGGCCGGCGUCUGGAUUUGAUGGAUGAGGCCUCUCGGAAAGGGAUAAGGCACGGAUGUGGUGGGAUGAGGGCAGGGGUGCCGAGGAAGGCCGAUGACGCCUCUUUUGAAGGGACACGGUGGCCGGUUCCUGGGAGCUGGGAGGAGGACGAUGUCACACCUGGAAGGCAUGAAGGAGGAUCUGGGAAGCUCCAGUCGGGCUCCCCUCAAUCCUUGGAGCACAUCACCAAGGGGGUGAAGGACAAGAAAUCACGGGAGCAGCAGGAACGGAUGCACCCUCGACUGGGAACGUAGAGCCAGCUGGGAAAGCUCCGGGUGCUGCCGCCAUCCAGAGGAACCUUCCUGGCCUGGAGAAACAGGCUGGCUGGAACCUCGGAAGGAUUGACAAGGAGGACAGUCCUGCCCUUGGGGAGGAACAACCCCGGGCACCAGGAUGUGCCAUGAGGACAUGCCAGAGAUCUGCAUCCUGGAGUGCGAGGGC
Molecule: RNA transcript, 1814 nt
Organism: Lepidothrix coronata (blue-crowned manakin)
Lineage: Eukaryota; Metazoa; Chordata; Aves; Passeriformes; Pipridae
Gene: PNOC
Gene name: prepronociceptin
Exons: 2
Source: RefSeq, a predicted model, not a curated record